CACGUACUGUGCGAACGUUAUUCGGAAUCACUGGGCUUAAAGGGUGCGUAGGCGGCAGAUCAAGUCAGGUGUGAAAGACCUGAGCUCAACUGAGGUAUAGCGCUUGAAACUGAUUUGCUAGAGUAUCCCAGGGGUGUGCGGAACUGCCAGUGGAGCGGUGAAAUGUGUUGAUAUUGGCAGGAACACCGGAGGCGAAAGCGGCACACUGGGGGAUAACUGACGCUGAGGCACGAAAGCCAGGGGAGCGAACGGG
Molecule: ribosomal RNA, 253 nt
Filed under: uncultured bacterium
Lineage: Bacteria
Description: partial 16S ribosomal RNA
Rfam family: Bacterial small subunit ribosomal RNA
Source: RNAcentral